Molecule: non-coding RNA, 26 nt
Filed under: Homo sapiens (human)
Lineage: Eukaryota; Metazoa; Chordata; Mammalia; Primates; Hominidae
Source: RNAcentral
UGAGGGUGUCGUGUUGAAUGCUUAGA